RNAcentral lists this ribosomal RNA (495 nucleotides) under uncultured bacterium. RNAcentral describes it as "partial 16S ribosomal RNA". It matches the Rfam family "Bacterial small subunit ribosomal RNA", at positions 28 to 507 of the family's 1533-position model. The record is from RNAcentral.
GACGAACGCUGGCGGCGUGCCUAAUACAUGCAAGUAGAACGCUGAAGGAGGAGCUUGCUUCUCCGGAUGAGUUGCGAACGGGUGAGUAACGCGUAGGUAACCUGCCUGGUAGCGGGGGAUAACUAUUGGAAACGAUAGCUAAUACCGCAUAAGAGUAGAUGUCGCAUGACAUUUGCUUAAAAGGUGCAACUGCACCACUACCAGAUGGACCUGCGUUGUAUUAGCUAGUUGGUGAGGUAACGGCUCACCAAGGCAACGAUACAUAGCCGACCUGAGAGGGGGGUCGGCCACAACGGGACCGGGAACAGGGCCAGACUUCUACGGGAGGCAGCAGGAGGGGAACUUCGGCAAUGGACGGAAGGCUGAACGGGCAACGCCGCGGGGGGGAAGGAAGGUUUCGGGUCGGAAAGCUCCGUUGUAAGGGGAGAACGAGUGGGGUAGUGGAAAGUUCACACUGUGACGGUAUCUAACCAGAAAGGGACGGCUAACUACGUG